UACAGAGGGGGCAAGCGUUAUUCGGAAUUAUUGGGCGUAAAGGGCGCGUAGGCGGCUUGGCAAGUGGAAGGUGAAAUCCCUCGGCUUAACCGAGGAACUGCCCUCCAAACUGCUUGGCUUGAGACCGGGAGAGGUGAGUGGAAUUCCCAGUGUAGCGGUGAAAUGCGUAGAUAUUGGGAGGAACACCAGUGGCGAAGGCGGCUCACUGGACCGGUACUGACGCUGAUGCGCGAAAGCCAGGGGAGCGAACGGG
Molecule: ribosomal RNA, 253 nt
Filed under: uncultured bacterium
Lineage: Bacteria
Description: partial 16S ribosomal RNA
Rfam family: Bacterial small subunit ribosomal RNA
Source: RNAcentral